GGCAUUUCAUGACUCUGCAUAAACAGGAGCCCGGAGGAAGUGGCUUUUCUGUUGUUUAACAUAUUUCAGAACGAUCUAGUGACUUCUUUGAGCCUUUGUAUGCUCUUUUGUGAAAGCGGGAGAAAGACCUCUGCUGAGUCUCCAAGGUCUUACAGGACUGCUAAGAUACUCAAAUUCGGUGCUCCUCCCAUACCUGGGGCACAGGGAGUGGAGACUGCAGAGUCCGAAUCCCAAUCUCAUUAUUUUUCUGCAAGGGCUGUGUGACCUUGGGCGAGUUACUAGCGUCUCUGAGACGCGUUGUAUCAACUCAAAAGGGGGCGGGGGAGCACCCGACGCCAGGUUCAGGUUCCAGCCACCUAGUGCCCCCUGGCGGCGCUGCGUGCUUUUCAGGCGCCACGGGCCGCACUCUCCCGCCACGGGAGCCCCCCCUCGCAGGAGCGCGCGGUCGGGGAGCCGGGAGCCGCGAGCCGCGAGCCGCGCACCGGGCAUGCGCGGCCGGUAGAGCCCCUCGAGGCAGCCUCGACGCCGCCCCGGCCCAGCCAGCGAGGGCCGGAGCUGUAGUACCGCCGGGGGCCGGUGGCGUCGCUGCGCGGCCGGCCCUGGGGGUCCGGCGCCUGUAGAACUCUACCCGGCGCAGGCGGCUCUGUGCUCACCCGGCGGUUGGCCUGACUUGCAAGUAAAUGGGAGCCGCCGCCUCUGGGCUGUGAGUCCCACCAGGGCAUGUGUUCGUGACAUGGCUCUUUUGUUCAUCACUGACGCACCAGUCUGGGACAGGCCCGGCUUGCAGGACUGCUCAGCGUCCCUUGCCUAGACCAGUGGUAGCCGAAGCCUGAUGGGGACAGCACGUCCCCAAAAAAGUUCCCCAGGGAGGUACAAAAGGGAGGACAAAAAGGGAGAGGAGCGCUAGCAACGUUCAUAGCAAUUGGACACAGCUUCGGCAUCCCAGCUGGGGAUCCUUGGAACAAGCUUUGAGAGCUCUGUGUGCAGAUCGUGGUUCCUGAAGGUCAGAGGAACUCCUUCCGAAUCAGCUGGUCAAGGAAGUGAUCCCUCGAAGCCACAGAACGUCAUCUUUUGAAAUCAUUGGAAAAUGGGUGGAGGCAUCGGAUCCCCUGAACCGGAGAGAACACAGAGCCCAGGCUACCAUGGUGAGAAGCAUCUGCUGAAGGAGAGC
Molecule: long non-coding RNA, 1171 nt
Organism: Acinonyx jubatus (cheetah)
Lineage: Eukaryota; Metazoa; Chordata; Mammalia; Carnivora; Felidae
Exons: 4
Source: RefSeq, a predicted model, not a curated record